AGCCUCGUGGUGAAGAAACACGUUGGAUUGCAAAUCCAGAGACGUAGAGUAAUACUCUGCCGGGGCUU
Molecule: transfer RNA, 68 nt
Filed under: Microphysogobio heterocheilus
Lineage: Eukaryota; Metazoa; Chordata; Actinopteri; Cypriniformes; Gobionidae
Description: tRNA-Cys
Rfam family: tRNA
About the family: Transfer RNA (tRNA) molecules are approximately 80 nucleotides in length. Their secondary structure includes four short double-helical elements and three loops (D, anti-codon, and T loops).
Source: RNAcentral